This is a long non-coding RNA of Passer domesticus (house sparrow), 1276 nucleotides long. RefSeq lists it as uncharacterized. The record is from RefSeq and is a predicted model, not a curated record. NCBI's taxonomy places the organism in Eukaryota, Metazoa, Chordata, Aves, Passeriformes, Passeridae. The transcript has 3 exons.
UCUUAGAGCUUUUUCCUCCUCCAAGUCACAGCAUAUUCUAAGCAAAUAAGGUAGGUUUUAUCAGCCUGUUUUUGUUUGUUUAACAGUGAGGUGAACUGUGACCCCCCAGAAAGUGCCUGCUGCCCUCAAGCAGCUGCAAAGGGAGCCUGGGCUGGCCUGCUCCUGUGUUGACAUCCCGGCAACAGGAACACGUUUGGUUGGAGUAACCCCAGCAUUCCAGAAGGGCACCUGCUGCAAGCACCUGCACCCCUGCGUGUCCCUGUAAAGUGCAGCUCUAACACAAGCUCUGACAACAUCGUGUCAUUUGAAGAUUACCCAUCCAUCUAGGAUGGCUUGCUGGGUCUCUGUCAAUAGAGAUUUCCAGACAAAAGUGCCCUCGCACCGUGCCUGCUCACAGCCCCUGUGCGAGGCUCUGGGAGCCAGAUGUAUUGUGCCACAGCAGAUGUCAGCAGCAUAUGGAAGAAGGAAGGAGAAAACGAUAAUCUAAAACCAGGAAGGCUAGUGAACUUCUGGAGGCACUGCUGGAGCUGAAACCUGCAUGUGGGGCACCUGCAGCUCUGUCUCAUGAGCUGGCAGCAGAGCUCAGGAGUCUUCUGAAGUGGGCACCACAGCAAGGUCAUGACCUUCCUGAAGAAAACAACUGCAGAGCAUCUGCUGAAGAAACAGUCUUUCAAGUUAAAUCCUGACAAGUGCAGAUAUAUUGUCAUCCUUCUUUACUUUAGGAUGAAUUCUCCAGGCUUUUGCAACAGUGCAAAUGUGGUGAUAAUACAGGGACCUGAGAUUUUAACUCCAAGUUUUACAUAACUCAGUGAGUGUGCAUAUGUGUAUGUCUAUAUGUGUAUAUAUAUAUGUAUAUCUAUAUAUACACUGCUACUUUCAUCUGAAGUCCACAUUUAAAUUGUGAAUGUAUGAUGAUGGUUGGACUCAAUCCUAUAGGUCUUUUCCAACCUUAAUGAUUGUAUGAGUCUAUUAGAUGAACUGACCCUUUGUCAUGGUUUGACCCUGGCACAAUGCCCUUGACAGAGUUGAAGAAUUUUCUUUAUUGUUGCUUUACUUCUUUUUUUAGGCUGUCACAAAGAGCUCAUGUGGUGAUUCCAUGUUGCCCAAGGGAGCCCAUAAAGUUCAAUGCUGCUAUUUUACAGACACUGGCUGUGAUGCCAUAGGAAAGGUAAAGCAGACCUGUGUAACUACUGAAGCCCACUCUGCUUUCUUUACUAUCUAGAACAGGGCACAGCUCAUGCUCACUGAAAGAGAGGGGUCUUUUCUGUAUUCUCCA